This 5531-nucleotide long non-coding RNA is filed under the name Nicotiana benthamiana. RNAcentral describes it as "long non-coding RNA (NBEN_LNC004840)". The record is from RNAcentral. Lineage: Eukaryota; Viridiplantae; Streptophyta; Magnoliopsida; Solanales; Solanaceae.
GGUUUGUCAUUUAUCAAAAUCUACAAAUAUGAACACACGUUUAGUUUAGUGACUUGAGAACGUGUUUCAACAAAAGUAUCCACAUGAAUAAGUUUGAACGAAUGAGAUGUCUUAAUGUAUUUAUCGGGAAAAAGUAACCUAGGUUAUCUAGUCACAGAGACAAGAAGAGCAGGUAAAUGGUUGUUAGAAAAAUUUCUACAUAGAAUAGCAGCAAUAUUUAUUUAUUCUAAUAAAAGGAAUAUGUCCCUAUCCUUGAUGCUAUAAGACUUCCUCUUUAAUUCCAUAAAACGUAAAAUCAGUUUUACAAUGAGAGCUAUCAGAUGAAAUAGAUAGUAUGACAACAAAACUAAAGAGCACCAUUUGAAACCAACAAGCUUAAACUGAGUUGAAGAUAUUAGAAGUCUAUAGUAAAGGGGAGUUUACCCACUUCCAAUAUCUUUUUUAAAAAAAAGGGCUUGUAGAGUACAUAAAAGUGAGGUGAAUUGGAUCGAAUCAUAUAGUUGGAUAGCUAGUCGAGAAAAUGAGAUAAGAUCGUAUUAAAAAAUAUGGAGAAACGACACAUGAUGCAAAGUAAAUGAAAAUAAAGUGAGAGAGUGUAUAGAAUUAACCUUUAUAUUGUAACCACUAGGAAGAGUGGUAAUAUAAGGGAUUACAAAAAGCUAAAUUUUUUAAGAAGAUCUUUGUAUGUAUUCACAUAAUGUACAACUCCAGAAUUCAAAAACUCAAUUAGGUUUAGCAACUCUACUUCACAAUUAAGCACUAUAACACACUUCUACACAACCAACUAUUACUAGCCAAAUUGGGAGAUGCUGUAAGACUUGACUGAGAGAAAGACUUUGACAUAUGAAUGUGUUACUAGGUGUAUUGCUUCUUGGUCAAUCCAAAACCAAAAGGCGAGAGUUAGACGGAUAAGAAGAUCGUUGGACUAGCACAUGUGUAGAUAAUCCAUUAUCGAAAGGAGAUCAUCCAAUCUCAGCAAUUGCAGCAUGAUAUCAACCCUUGAUGAACUUGAAGUGGGGUGGGAACCCAUGUAAUUUGUGAAAUUUAUAAAUCCAUUGACCAGAUAUCUUGAAGAAAUUCCAAAUUAGAGCUACUCUUUCUAGUUAAAAGUUCAACCUUUAAGGAUAGAGCUUCUAUGGGGGAUAUGAUUGAGUAGGGAUAAUAUAGCUGAUAAUGAAUGAAGAAGAUUCAUAGCUAAAGUGAGAGGAUGGAUUGACUUUCCUGCGCCACCUAUAAUUCCAUAUCCUUGUUUAGUUAUGUUAGAAUACAAAAAAUCCCAGCAAUAUCAAAGGACCGAAAACUAGUUAUCCCGAAAAUAAAGGUAUUGUUACAUCUAUCCCAUUGUCUAGAUUUAGCUGAAUUGGCAAGGGGAUUCAGGCGGAUUACCAUCGAUAAUGAAAAUUUUAUUUCUAGAUGCCAAAUACACAAUUAUGAUCUUCUUCAACCACCGAAAUUGGAACAAGAAAAAUAAGACAACAACCAGGGGAAGACCAAGUAUAUUGGAGGAAUUAACAUAAAUAGGACUUGAGGUUAGUGGAGCCACUACUAACAUUAAAAUUAGUUGGAUUCGCAGCAACAUAGAGCAAUUUACACAUAGAGACACUCAAAAAAGUAUCAUGAAAAUCAAAAGAGGAGCAAAAGUACUCAUCUUUAUUACAACUAGAAGAUGGAAAACCUUCAAGAAUAAGAUGAAAAACAAGAGUAAGUAUCAUGAUCUAGCUGCAGAAAUAGAGGCUCGACAAACCCUAGCUUCGAUGGAGAUUUAGCAAUUCACCAAAAGUAAUUGAGCAGACCAAAUCAUGAAAAUAACUUACAAGAGAAGAGGGAGAACUCGCAAAGGAAAUGAAAAUCUUUCCGAUUACAAUCACUAGGCGAAAAUGAAAGACUCAAAAAAAAAAAAAAAUAGAGUGAGGGCACUACCAACUAAAGAGGAUGAUGACACCUGGCAAGAUCUUCACUAUGAUACUAUGUCAACAUUUAGAAUGAAGCAUAAAAUCAAAGAAAAAUGGCCUAGGGUUUUGAAUAGAGAAGAUAAAUGGUCAAGAGAAAAUAUCUUAUUAUUUUGUGAGGAAAUAUUAGAGUUGUCCAUCCAUUCAUUCGGUAAGAAGUUCAUUAGGUAUAGUCCCUUGUUGAGAAUUUAGGAAAUUAAGUGAAAAGUGUUAAUCCUAGAGUUAUAACUCAAUUCAAGGACAUAAUUAUAGAACUUAAUUCCACAAAAGUAUGCAGAUAAGAGAAUUUGUGAUAGAGUGGAUUCACGAAUAACACGUCUUAUUCAAAGAGUAGGUACAUGCAAUAUUUUGUGACUCAAUAUCUUAUAACGACGAUUUUAAUGAGAACUCUUCAAUAUAGGUGCACAUAUACAAAAAAGAAACUAUGUGGUGUUCAUAAUGACAUAGCAAGAAGUAGCUUGCUUGGUAACUUUAGAUUGGUGGGGCAGUGCCUUAGCUGAUGCACCCUGACUCUACAUCUGUAACAUAUAUUGGUAACAUACUAAUAUACUACAUAAUCCGGUGGUGUAGUGAUAUUAAAAGGCACCAGGGUACUCCCUUUAGCAACAAGUUCUACCAAUCUCUCCAUGGCCUAAUACAUUCUCCUAACAAACUCUUGUGAAAUCUCACCCGAAUUCAAUGGUGGGGUCAAUCCCUCCUUACAUGCUUCAAACUCAUGGAUUAUGGUGUCACACCUCUUUUAUCCUUACUACACCCAUGAAGAGGUAUAAUAAAGGGAGUUUUUUCCAAUUUAAGUGACAAUCGAAACAAGAUUAAUUAUUAAAAAUCAGAGAUGCCACUUGGAAUAAUUUAUGGUGUCCCAAAUCACCGGUUUAAAAUCCCAAAUCGAGGAAAAAAUGACUCUGUUAUUAUAGUCUGUGAAUCAGAAAUUCGAGUAAGGAAUUCUGUUAACCCGGGAGAAGGUGUUAGGCACUCCCGAAUUCUGUAGUUCUAGCAUGGUCUCUUUGAUCGUACUUGGCUUGUUAAAUUGUUUAAUUACUAAUUUUUAAGCCUAUGUGCCUUUGCUUCUUUUUACUGCUUUUAAUUAGAAAAUUAUCUUAAAACGGGUUACGUGUACGCAUACUCCAGUUUUAUUUUUAUAAGUGUGAUUGUGUUACACAGACGUAUAUGCAACCACACUAGUAUUUUAAACGACAUUAAAGGAUAUUCUACGAAAUAUUAUUUUAUCUAGCCUACGAAAUUACUAAAAGUCAUGAGUGGCUUUAAUGAACUUAUGAACUAAAAUAAUUACAGGCUUGUAAACUAAUUUAUUGUUAAGAAAGGAUUGAGCGAAGUUGCGGGAACGCAUACUCCAAAUUAAUUUAGGAUUAUGGACAUGUUAACUCAAAGUUUUAUAACUAUCUUAACACAAAGACCAUGGAAUUCGUGAUUUUGGUUCAGCCCGUCACAACUCAAAUUAAUUAAAGGGAUUAUCAAUGAACUAGGUUCUAAAGUAAUCAAAACCAAUUCUUCUUUUUUUUUUAAAAGAAAAACUGAAUCUAAAACAUGACCCAAUAGGCUUUGAGACAGGAAGUCUAAUCUUCUUUGCUUCUCCCAUAACUUGGGCCUGACCUGAGGCCGAAUCAUAAAAAAAAGUUCAGGUGAAACAACAACGCCCUAAGCACUCUGCAUUCUAUUAUCGUAGCAAAUAUGAAUAUCUAAACGCAUACAUGAAUUGUUCUAAGAAAUUGACACACACAUGUAAAAUUUCCUGACCACUUCAAAACAGUUUCAGCAUAUCAACCAACAUGUUAAUAAAACUAUGCGUGCUGGAAUUUUGACAUAAACCAAAGCAAACCAUAAAACCAAGCGAAGAGAACGAAAAGGGGUGUAAAUCUGAUUACAUACUUGAGUUUCAUUUGAGAUUCAAACGAGAAGGCAUAACGUGAAUAAGCUUGAUAUUAAUGGAUCACACCUCAAGCUAUACAUAAAAUGAGCUUGGAGUUGUGAUGCACGAGAAAACUAGAUCCAACGCAGGCAUCCUGAACUAACAAACAUUUGACCUUCAAGUACGCUCAAAACCAAAUAAAUUCAUAGUCAAGCGAUCGAGUCCUUCAGUUAAUACCUGUUAAGCCGACUACAUAUAUCUAACCUAUAAUGUUGCUGAAUUUAAAGCACUCAUAGCAGAUCUAAUACUAAUUCCAGGAUACAAAUACGGUACUGAUUAUUGAUGAAUUACAUAUUGAAAAAAAUAAAGUUGGGCUAAAGGCAUCUGAAAACAAAGUGCAAAAAUUUCCAAACAAGACUUCCCUCUUCAAACAGUAGUUACAUCCUUGCAAAAAUCUCAAUUCCAUUCAAGUUUCGAAUGAAAUACCUGGAGAGAAGAAACAAGAAAUGAGGGACAAUUUUCAGCUCCUAAAACCUUUCUUUUGUGUGUUUUUCUGAAUUUUUACUAUCUAAAAACCCUUCGAAUAGCAGCCUUUGUUAUAAUGACUUUAUAGGCAAAUCCUUAAGGUGCCUUUCAGAUUCUUUGUUUUCAUUUUUAGUCCCCUAUUUUAUAACUUGUUUCCCAAGUUAUACCCUGAAAUUUACUAGCAGAUUCCUGCUAGAAACUUCCAGGUUAGUUACAAAAUAUUCCUCACCUAAACUACCCAAAUCACCCCCUAUAGCCAUCACUAUUUACCCUCCUCUGAAAAACAGAUAUGGGCUCAAGUGAGGCACAUACAGGCCAAAACCAUGUGGGCUACCAGAAUUACCUGCCCCGCUUUGGGCUCCCUCUUUUUAUAAAGCCCAAACGUGAUUAAUACAAAAAAGCAGUGCAAUUCAUAAAUCAGUAAAGCAUGACCAAAACUACGAUACUAUUGAAGCUAUGAACGACGACACUUCUAAUUCAAAUGGAACAAGAAAUAGAUCAAAUAAUGAUUUUACUAAGCAAUCGAUGUAUGAUUAUCACACCAGAACUAAUGUUUAAAAACAAGAUAGCAAACAACAAAAGAAAAAAAACAAAAAAGAAUUAAAAAUUGCAGUAAAGAGGGGAACAAUGUACCAGGUUAUAAUAGCAGAUUGACAAAUUCAAAGAAAUCAACGACUAAGGAGGAUCUGAUAAGCGUCGAAAUUUUAAUACGAGCGUUAACCAAAAUUUCUCCGACGGCUAAUGCUCCAUAUCACAAUCUUCGACACCUAUCUUUAAAAUGAGACGAACCAAAACUUGGAGCAUGGAUUGCUUGGCUAACAUUGGCUUCCAUGAGGGGCCUGGAAUUUGACUGAAUAACCAACUGAUCCCUCGUGCUAGUAUCAAAAGAAGCAAAUAUCGGAAAAACACAGAGGAAAUCGGACGAGACGAAGCCAACUCAGAUUAUAUACCUUCCGAGAUUUGAAAUUCAUGGGAAUCGAGCGACAUUUGGAGAAAACUAGUGGUGGAUUUGGAAUGGGAAAGCAACAAGGAUUAUGAGGUCAAAUUUUGAGGAGGUUUGGAGAUCGCCGCUGCUGGCGAUCUCCGGCGGCGGCGACGGGAGAUGAGGGGUUGUACUUGAUCCUAGGUUUACUAAUGGUUAUUUGGACAUAUUAAGGUAAAUGUAGAGGUAAUUGUGACCUUUGGAUGGG